AGAGCAGUGAUGAGCAGCUAACACGUAAGAAAAUGUCCCGAUUUGUUUGGGAAUUUUCGAUGAAAUACAAUUGUUACGCUUGGCUUCUGAGCACU
Small nucleolar RNA from Malus domestica (apple), 95 nucleotides. RefSeq annotates it as small nucleolar RNA R24. NCBI's taxonomy places the organism in Eukaryota, Viridiplantae, Streptophyta, Magnoliopsida, Rosales, Rosaceae. The record is from RefSeq and is a predicted model, not a curated record.